GAUGAAGAACGUAGCGAAAUGCGAUAAGUAAUGUGAAUUGCAGAAUUCAGUGAAUCAUCGAAUCUUUGAACGCACAUUGCGCCCGCCAGUAUUCUGGCGGGCAUGCCUGUUCGAGCGUCAUUUCAACCAUCAAGCCCCCGGCUUGUGUUGGGGACCUGCGGCUGCCGCAGGCCCUGAAAACCAGUGGCGGGCUCGCUAGUCACUCCGAGCGUAGUAGUUACAUCUCGCUCAGGGCGUGCUGCGGGUUCCGGCCGUUAAAAGCCGUAUUUACCCAAGGUUGACCUCGGAUCAGGUAGGAAGACCCGCUGAACUUAAGCAUAUCAAUAAGCGGAGGA
Molecule: unclassified non-coding RNA, 335 nt
Filed under: soil metagenome
Description: partial contains 5.8S ribosomal RNA, internal transcribed spacer 2, and large subunit ribosomal RNA
Rfam family: 5.8S ribosomal RNA (bases 1-120)
Source: RNAcentral